AUUGAACGCUGGCGGCAGGCCUAACACAUGCAAGUCGAGCGGAUGAAGGGAGCUUGCUCCUGGAUUCAGCGGCGGACGGGUGAGUAAUGCCUAGGAAUCUGCCUGGUAGUGGGGGAUAACGUCCGCAAACGGGCGCUAAUAACGCAUACGUCCUGAGGGAGAAAGUGGGGGAUCUUUGGACCUCACGCUAUCAGAUGAGCCUAGGUCGGAUUAGUUAGUUGGUGGGGUAAAGGCCUACCAAGGCGACGAUCCGUAACUGGUCUGAGAGGAUGAUCAGUCACACUGGAACUGAGACACGGACCAGACUCCUACGGGAGGCAGCAGUGGGGAAUGUUGGACAGUGGGCGAAAGCCUGAUCCAGCCAUGCCGCGUGUGUGAAGAAGGUCUUCGGAUUGUAAAGCACUUUAAGUUGGGAGGAAGGGCAGUAAGUUAAGACCUUGCUGUUUUGACGUUACCAGCAGAAGAAGCACCGGCUAACUUCGUG
This 484-nucleotide ribosomal RNA is filed under the name uncultured bacterium. RNAcentral describes it as "partial 16S ribosomal RNA". It matches the Rfam family "Bacterial small subunit ribosomal RNA", at positions 30 to 507 of the family's 1533-position model. The record is from RNAcentral.